AUGGGGGGACAGGGUGGUUGGCUUCUUCUCUUUUGCCUGCUCACUUCUCCUUCUGCCCCCUCCAGCUAACUGGUUACUGGCACCAAUGGAUUUGGAGCUGAAUAUCCUACUUGAAUGGGACAGUCUUAAAAUGCCUUUCUUCUAGAACCAUCACAUACUUCCACCUGACUCUCUCAUUGGUUCGUCACAUGGUUCUUCUAAAAAUCCUUCGACAAGAUUGAUUAUAUGAGUUGCGCAUGCAUUUCCUCUCCAUUCAGACUGCUUGUUGGUUUGUUUUGUUUGUUUCAGUAUACAUUACAACAGUUCCUGUUAGUGGCCUGUCAUCUUUUGGUAAAAUUCUCCUGUUCAGAAUGUACCCAUAGAGGAGUUUCCAUUGUAGCUCAGCGGUAAUGAACUUGACUCGUAUCCAUGAGGAUGUAGGUUGGAUCCCUGGCCUCACUUAGUGGUUUAAGGAUCUGGCAUUGCCGUGAGCUUUGGUGUAGGUUGCAGACACAGCUCGGAGAUGGCAUUCCUGUGGCUGUGGUGUAGGCUGGCAGCUAUAGUUCCAAUUCAACCCCUAGCCCAGGAACUUCCACAUGCUGUGAAUGUGGCCCUAAAAAAAGACAGAAUGAGUUACUUGUCUGUGCAUCAGUAAAUGUGUUCUAUUAUGUCCAUCAAGCCCAUUGCCACCUUCUGGCUUUUAGACCUUUCAGGCAUGUGUCACAGCCUCUUAAAUGUCCCACAGACUUCAGGGACACAUAAAGUACUCUGAGCAGUUCAUUUCCCACUAUUAUCCUUGGGAGGGCAGGAUUUAUAUGGGAGGAGAGCAACUGUAUGCAAAAAUAUCUCUCCAUAGAUAUUUUUUUGCAUGAUCAAACUUCUUAACCAUUGUUAGGUGUAACAGUUGUCUAAAUCAUUCUCAGUCAUCUCCUUUAAAAUUCUUAUUGUGUUCUGGCAUGGCCCUUUAGCAUUUUAAAUCUAUUACAUAUGUUGAUAUUUCAGAUGAAACAUUAAACAUAAUGUCCAGUUACAAGGAAUCAAAAGAUUCUUGGAUUCUAAACUAUCACUCAUCUUAGAGGGAGUUCCCGUUGUGACUCAGUGGUAACAAACCCUGCUAGUAUCCGUGAGGUUGUGGGUUCAGUCCCUGGCCUCGCUCAGUGGAUCCGGCAUUGCUGUGGCUGUGGCACAGCCAGGCAGCUGUAGCUCUGGUUUGAAUCCCUAGCCUGGAAAAGUCCAUAUGCCACAGGUGCAGCCCUUAAAAAUAUAAAUAAAUAAAAAUAAAUAUUCACUCAGAGUCACACACGCAUAUAUAUUUAUAUCUGUGAUUGUGUGUGUGUGCGUGCGUGUGUGAAGGCUCUACAGUUCACUUAAUUGAAUCUCACAGCACAGGUCCAUUGGGACUGGAAGACAUCCAUCUUACUUAGCAUUUCAGCUUCCGCUUGCAGAAUUCCCUGCUUCUAUGAGACUAAAAAUAUUUGAAUGUAUGAACUCUGUCUCAUUUUGUGGGCAAUCAAUAAGGAAUUUCCUGGCUAAGAAAUCCUCCCUCUUCUUGGUCAUUAGAACACUUAUUUUAGGAUCCUGAUCUCAUAGCUUCCUCUAGCUCCAACUUUAUUAUCUGAAACUUCAGUAUCCAGAGGGAUGACUCGGGCAAAUGACAAUUAUUUUUCUAACAAGUCAACCAUUGACACAAAUGGUUAUAAAGUUGGAAGUAGUAACCAUAAAAAAAUUGCAAGUCUCCAAAAUUGUAGAUGUCUGUGGUCUACUGCAUUUUUACAGGCUAGUUACUUGAGCAACCCAUUAUGUUUCUCAAACUUUCAUGACUUCUGACCAAUUUAAAAUAUCACUUAUUAUAUAUAGGCCCGCAGGUUGUUUAGAAUUUAGCAUUUAUCAUAAAAUUUAUACUUUGUGUGCAUUUUUCACCCGCCUUUCUUUUUACUUUUAAAGAAGUUAACCCAUGAACAAACACAAACAUAUUUUGUCGCAUAUUUUCUGUAGGUGUCACUCUUCAUUCUUAGUGUAGGUCAUGUGUAAUUUCCUCAACCUGAAGCUCUGUUCACAUUUUUCAGACCAGGUCUACUGGCAAAAGAUCUCAGUUUUUCUUAAUUAGGAAGCUUCUUUGUCUUUCGUUUUUGAUGAACAUUUGUAUUAAACAUAGAAAUUGUGAUGACAGCCAGUUUUUCCUUUUAGCAGUUUAAGGAUGUCACUUCAGUGUUUUCCCGGAUCUGCUGUUUCUGAUGAUCGUCAGAUGUCAUUUGUGUAGUUGAUCUCCUGUACAUAAUGUUUUUUUCUCCAGUUUCCUGUAAUACUUCCUUUUUAUCACUCAUUUUUAGUAAUUUUACAAUGAUGAAUCUCUAUUUCAUUUUUCUUUUCUGUAUAAUGCUUAGGACUUGUUGCAUUUCUUAGAUAAAUAUGCUGGCAUUUUAACCACAUUUGUAGUAAUUUUGUAUCAUUUCUAAAGGGUUUUUUUUGCCCUAAUGUUUCUCCCUUCUCGUAUUUGGAACUCCAAUUAUGUGUGCACUAGAUGGAGGGCAAGUCCAAUAAUGCUUACUGUAUUAGGACCAAAAGUGUAAGCUUCGUAAAUCAGCUAUACCUUGAU
This 2575-nucleotide long non-coding RNA is filed under the name Sus scrofa (pig). RNAcentral describes it as "lncRNA (ENSSSCG00000062598.1)". The record is from RNAcentral. Lineage: Eukaryota; Metazoa; Chordata; Mammalia; Artiodactyla; Suidae.